Molecule: ribosomal RNA, 445 nt
Filed under: uncultured bacterium
Lineage: Bacteria
Description: SSU rRNA
Rfam family: Bacterial small subunit ribosomal RNA
Source: RNAcentral
AGAACGAACGCUGGCGGCAGGCCUAACACAUGCAAGUCGAACGCUCCGCAAGGAGAGUGGCAGACGGGUGAGUAACGCGUGGGAAUUUCCCCCAAGGUUCGGAAUAACUGAGGGAAACUUCAGCUAAUACCGAAUGGUACCGAGAGGUUAAAGAUUUAUCGCCUUGGGAUGAGCCCGCGUUGGAUUAGCUAGUUGGUGGGGUAACGGCCCACCAAGGCUUUGAUCCAUAGCUGGUCUGAGAGGACGACCAGCCACACUGGGACUGAGACACGGCCCAGACUCCUACGGGAGGCAGCAGUGGGGAAUCUUGGACAAUGGGCGCAAGCCUGAUCCAGCCAUGCCGCGUGGGCGAUGAAGGUCUUCGGAUUGUAAAGCCCUUUUGGCGGGGUACGAUAAUGACGGUACCCGCAGAAUAAGCUCCGGCUAACUUCGUGCCAGCAGCCGC